GACGAACGCUGGCGGCGUGCUUAACACAUGCAAGUCGAACGGAAAGGCCCUGCUUUUGUGGGGUGCUCGAGUGGCGAACGGGUGAGUAACACGUGAGUAACCUGCCCUUGACUUUGGGAUAACUUCAGGAAACUGGGGCUAAUACCGGAUAGGAGCUCCUGUUGCAUGGUGGGGGUUGGAACGUUUCGGCGGUUGGGGAUGGACUCGCGGCUUAUGAGCUGGUUGGUGGGGUAGUGGCGUACCAAGGCUUUGACGGGUAGCCGGCCUGAGAGGGUGACCGGCCACAUUGGGACUGAGAUACGGCCCAGACUCCUACGGGAGGCAGCAGUGGGGAAUAUUGCACAAUGGGCGGAAGCCUGAUGCAGCAACGCCGCGUGCGGGAUGACGGCCUUCGGGUUGUAAACCGCUUUCGCCUGUUACGAAGCGUGAGUGACGGUAAUGGGUAAAGAAGCACCGGCUAACUACGUG
Molecule: ribosomal RNA, 468 nt
Filed under: uncultured bacterium
Lineage: Bacteria
Description: partial 16S ribosomal RNA
Rfam family: Bacterial small subunit ribosomal RNA
Source: RNAcentral